Molecule: long non-coding RNA, 210 nt
Filed under: Elaeis guineensis (African oil palm)
Lineage: Eukaryota; Viridiplantae; Streptophyta; Magnoliopsida; Arecales; Arecaceae
Description: long non-coding RNA (EGUI_LNC058622)
Source: RNAcentral
UGCUUCUUACAGUAGAAGCACUCUGCAUGACUCUAAUCAGACUUGAACUUGGACUUCUUGGUCUGACCCCCAGCACAUGACACCUUUUUAUUCCUUUUCUUCUUCCCUUUCUUAAAGAAACAACAUCCGUCUGAAGAAGAUCCUCCCACUACAUUCAUCAUCUCCUUAUGGAGCUGGUGAUCUUUCUCAAAAAUCUAUAGCAAUCCCAGC